This is a long non-coding RNA of Gigantopelta aegis, 560 nucleotides long. RefSeq lists it as uncharacterized. The record is from RefSeq and is a predicted model, not a curated record. The transcript is spliced from 3 exons. Lineage: Eukaryota; Metazoa; Mollusca; Gastropoda; Neomphalida; Peltospiridae.
GAAAGUAAAUACACUUCUCGGAGUGUGGUUUCCUGUGAUCAGUCCAUGAUUAAAGACACUAACGACAACAUUUUAAUACAAAGUAUGUUUUGCACCGUUAUAAAUAAAGCUAUAAUUUACUUAAUAGUGAUGACUAUUUGCAUAACGGGAGUAAUCCCAUGGAAACAAAACAUAUUUCGAAAAGUGUCCAGUAUUCCCGUGAUAGAGAAUGCUUGCGACCUCUGGAAAGGUGUUGUUUGGAGUCUGGUGGAUUGUUCUAAAACAUGUUUAAGUGAUGAACGAUGUGUUCUCUUCACGUAUGAUAAAAAUGGAACAUGUUCUACGUAUUGUAACAUCGGAACGGAGGUUGAAGCUGUGCAUGGAUAUGUCUCUGUUUCAGACACAAUGUCAGCCUGGUUUUGUGAAAUACGAAAACAGCUGUUACUGGUUUUCACUGAAAUCAGCGAUCCGAUCAUGGGAUGAAGGCAAGGCAUAUUGCCAAAGCAUUAAUUCCUACCUUGUCAUCAUAACGUCAGCUGAAGAAGACAAAUUCAUCCGGGAAUAUCUGUUACAAAGUACAA